GCUCCAGGGACCACACAUUCGCUCCAUAAGACGCACUUUUUUCCUCUUAAAAAGUAAGGGGAAAUGUCUGUGCGUCUUAUGGAGCGAAUGUGUGGUCCCUGGAGC
Molecule: non-coding RNA, 105 nt
Organism: Podarcis lilfordi (Lilford's wall lizard)
Lineage: Eukaryota; Metazoa; Chordata; Lepidosauria; Squamata; Lacertidae
Source: the annotation of a GenBank genome assembly